CUGGCUCAGGACGAACGCUGGCGGCGUGCCUAACACAUGCAAGUCGAGCGAGGAGAUCCUCGGGAUGAUCCUAGCGGCGGACGAGUGAGUAACACGUGGGCAACCUGCCUCAUAGAGAGGAAUAGCCUUCCGAAAGGGAGAUUAAUACCUCAUAACAUUGCAGUUUCGCAUGGAACAGCAAUUAAAGGAGCAAUCCACUAUGAGAUGGGCCCGCGGCGCAUUAGCUAGUUGGUGAGGUAACGGCUCACCAAGGCGACGAUGCGUAGCCGACCUGAGAGGGUGAUCGGCCACAUUGGGACUGAGACACGGCCCAGACUCCUACGGGAGGCAGCAGUGGGGAAUAUUGCACAAUGGGGGAAACCCUGAUGCCAGCAACGCCGCGUGAGUGAUGACGGCCUUCGGGUUGUAAAGCUCUGUCUUCAGGGACGAUAAUGACGGUACCUGAGGAGGAAGCCACGGCUAACUACGUGCCAGCCGCCGC
RNAcentral lists this ribosomal RNA (481 nucleotides) under uncultured bacterium. Its description in RNAcentral is "bacterial SSU rRNA". It matches the Rfam family "Bacterial small subunit ribosomal RNA", at positions 19 to 518 of the family's 1533-position model. The record is from RNAcentral.